UCGUAGUGUAGCGGUUAACACGCCUGCCUGUCACGCAGGAGAUCGCGGGUUCGAUUCCCGUCGAGACCGUACA
This 73-nucleotide transfer RNA is filed under the name Staphylococcus aureus O11. RNAcentral describes it as "tRNA-Asp". It matches the Rfam family "tRNA". Rfam says of the family: Transfer RNA (tRNA) molecules are approximately 80 nucleotides in length. The record is from RNAcentral. Lineage: Bacteria; Bacillati; Bacillota; Bacilli; Caryophanales; Staphylococcaceae.